This 72-nucleotide transfer RNA is filed under the name Rhodovibrio salinarum. RNAcentral describes it as "tRNA-OTHER". Lineage: Bacteria; Pseudomonadati; Pseudomonadota; Alphaproteobacteria; Rhodospirillales; Rhodovibrionaceae. The record is from RNAcentral.
GCCGGCGUGGUCGGUUCGUUACUGCGACUGAAAAUCGCAGUAUCGGAGGUUCGAAUCCUUCCCUGGGCACCA